CCCUUAGAUGUUCUGGGCUGCACGCGCGCUACACUGUCGGAUUCAGCGAGUCAUAUCCUUAACCGAAAGGUUUGGGUAAUCUUUUGAAAGUCCGACGUGAUGGGGAUUGAUCAUUGCAAUUAUUGAUCAUGAACGAGGAAUUCCUAGUAAGCGCGAGUCAUCAGCUCGCGUUGAUUACGUCCCUGCCCUUUGUACACACCGCCCGUCGCUACUACCGACUGAAUGGUUUAGUGAGAUCUUCGGAUUGGCGCCUACGCGGCUUCUCUGAGGCCACGCUGGAUGCCGAAAAGUUGCUCAAACUGUAUCAUUUAGAGGAAGUAAAAGUCGUAACA
This 332-nucleotide ribosomal RNA is filed under the name uncultured eukaryote. RNAcentral's name for it is "partial 18S ribosomal RNA". It matches the Rfam family "Eukaryotic small subunit ribosomal RNA", at positions 1470 to 1796 of the family's 1831-position model. The record is from RNAcentral.